Long non-coding RNA from Penaeus monodon (black tiger shrimp), 300 nucleotides. RefSeq lists it as uncharacterized. Lineage: Eukaryota; Metazoa; Arthropoda; Malacostraca; Decapoda; Penaeidae. The record is from RefSeq and is a predicted model, not a curated record. The transcript is spliced from 2 exons.
UCGAUUUCGAAAGAUGCACUGCCCUCGCGCGUGAAUGUCCAUAAUGUGACCCUCAAGGAUAUAAAUUCGUGUUGUGCAACGGCGAUGUCAGUUUGCAGUGUGGAGGUGAAGGGAGAGCGCUUCGUCAUGGUUAAGAAGGCUCAGGCCGCUGUUGCUGUGCUUGUGGAACAGUUGCGCUUUUCAUGCAAAAGAUAAUUAGUGACGCAUUGUGACGUUUGGGUUAGAAAAUUCACUGAGAUCUGUGUAAAUAAAUAUGCAAAUUACAACGUGAAGACAUCGCGCAAAUAUGUUAAUGGAACG